UCUCUUCUUCUUGGCCCUCUUGUGGGUGCCAAGCUUUCUCUUUGCCACCUUCAGUGCACGCUUGUCCUUGCCAACUUUGAGAAGCUCAGUGAUACGCUUCUCAUAGGGAGCAAAUCCAGCAACCUCCCUGAUCAAGUUCCUGACAAAGGUCACCCUCUUGGUGGAUUUCCCCUUGCGGUCGGACGGGCGAGGCGGCAGCUCGCGCUUGGUGACGACGUGGCCCUUGUUGAUGCCCACGAAGAGCCCGGACUUCGGCUGCGACGGCG
This 266-nucleotide unclassified non-coding RNA is filed under the name Hevea brasiliensis (rubber tree). Lineage: Eukaryota; Viridiplantae; Streptophyta; Magnoliopsida; Malpighiales; Euphorbiaceae. The record is from RNAcentral.